Solanum pennellii is the source of this 1013-nucleotide long non-coding RNA. RefSeq lists it as uncharacterized. The record is from RefSeq and is a predicted model, not a curated record. The transcript is spliced from 4 exons. NCBI's taxonomy places the organism in Eukaryota, Viridiplantae, Streptophyta, Magnoliopsida, Solanales, Solanaceae.
GAUUCUCUUUUUCAAUACCUAUUUCAUCAAGCGUUAGUACUCAAACAGGUCUUCUUGUUAGCUGAAGUGUUUGAUUUUUUGUUUUGUGUUUAAAAAGAAUGAAUGCUUUUGGGUUGUUGGAAAGAUGAUGAAUUGAAGCUACACUUUUCUCUCAAGUUUCUCACUUAAGAACACGAUUUCAAACAGGUUUAGUUUGAGACGGUUUUAUCAAAUUGGUUUUCCCAAGCUUUGUUCGAGUCUGAGAUUCUGCCCGAAAUUGUCAUCCGUUGUUAGUGUUCAAGUUUCGUGGAGAAGAUCGAUUUCCUACUCGUCCCCUUCCAGUUCACUGCCUGAAGAAAGGUGCUGCAAUAUGCAAUAUUCAAUUCCUCUUAUAUAGCUGUUGCAAUCAGGGAUAAAGUACAAGAAAUUCUUGUAAGAGUUGAACCCUUUUAGAACUGCCUGCACACAGAAAUGGGUUUCCAGAUGGGUUGAUCAGAAAUCAUGGGCUACUUGUGAAUUUGAGUUGCAAGAAUCGUCGGGACAAGAUCCGGAGGUGCAGUUUGAAUGAUCUUUCGAUAUCCUAGGUUACGUUGAUAAAAAAAACAUAUACUUUGAUGUUUUUUGUGUUGAGUUCCCUCUUUUUUCAUGCCUGUUUUGUGCCACUGCUAUCCUGAUUUACAUGUUUGCAUUAGAGUAUCUUCAGAUUACUCUCUUGCUGCCCCUGUUCUUUGGCCUGAAGUGGACUUGGAGUUGGCAUUGAAGAGAAGUAGAAAGUGGUUUAGCUAGCCAAACAAAAUGACAUUGGAAAUGAUAAAAAAGGAAAAUGUCGGUAAUUGAAUUUUGAUUAGUGGUCAGAAGUAAAUUCGAUCUAUUGUAUUCAUGCUGAAGAAUUUUUUACUAUUAUCAUACUUGUUUAAAUGCCUUUGAUUUUCUGGUAUAUAUUGAUAGUAGAGAUUUUUAAGCAAUCACUUUCUAUGUAUUGGUUGUAGAAGACAUGUUUUCAAAGAUUAUUCAUAAUAUAUAGCUUCGAUUUA